CUUUAUAGCAGGCCAAAUCGACUCUUGUCUGGUGUGCCACUGUACAAAGGGGACGUGCCAACCCAAGAUAAAUCUGCAGUUACAUCUUUGCUGGAUGGACUGAACCAAGCCUUCGAGGAGGUUUCAUCCCAGAGUGGAGGGGCAAAGAGGCAGAGUAUACACUUGGAGCAGAAGUUGUAUGAUGGAGUCUCAGCCACCUCUACUUGGUUGGAUGACGUUGAAGAACGUUUAUUUGUUGCCACAGCACUUUUACCAGAAGAAACAGAGACUUGUCUCUUCAACCAAGAGAUUCUUGCCAAAGACAUUAAGGAAAUGUCUGAAGAAAUGGAUAAGAACAAAAACUUGUUUUCCCAAGCUUUUCCAGAGAAUGGUGAUAAUCGAGAUGUUAUUGAAGAUACUUUGGGUUGUCUUUUGGGCAGGUUAUCCUUGCUAGACUCAGUAGUGAAUCAACGAUGUCAUCAGAUGAAAGAAAGACUUCAGCAAAUACUAAAUUUCCAGAAUGAUCUGAAAGUGCUGUUUACAUCACUGGCUGACAACAAAUACAUCAUUCUGCAAAAACUGGCAAAUGUGUUUGAACAGCCCGUAGCAGAACAAAUAGAG
RNAcentral lists this non-coding RNA (600 nucleotides) under Pan troglodytes (chimpanzee). Lineage: Eukaryota; Metazoa; Chordata; Mammalia; Primates; Hominidae. The record is from RNAcentral. RNAcentral also lists the same sequence under 1 other name.